GACGAACGCUGGCGGCGUGCUUAACACAUGCAAGUCGAGCGGUAAGGCCCUUUCGGGGGUACACGAGCGGCGAACGGGUGAGUAACACGUGGGUGACCUGCCCUCAGCUCUGGGAUAAGCCUGGGAAACUGGGUCUAAUACUGGAUAUGACUCCACGGUGCAUGUCGUGGGGUGGAAAGCCUUGUGCGGCUGAGGAUGGGCCCGCGGCCUAUCAGCUUGUUGGUGGGGUGANGGGCCUACCAAGGCGACGACGGGUAGCCGGCCUGAGAGGGCGACCGGCCACACUGGGACUGAGACACGGCCCAGACUCCUACGGGAGGCAGCAGUGGGGAAUCUUGCGCAAUGGGCGAAAGCCUGACGCAGCGACGCCGCGUGAGGGAUGACGGCCUCGG
Molecule: ribosomal RNA, 392 nt
Filed under: uncultured bacterium
Lineage: Bacteria
Description: bacterial SSU rRNA
Rfam family: Bacterial small subunit ribosomal RNA
Source: RNAcentral